Molecule: long non-coding RNA, 1282 nt
Organism: Hemicordylus capensis (graceful crag lizard)
Lineage: Eukaryota; Metazoa; Chordata; Lepidosauria; Squamata; Cordylidae
Exons: 4
Source: RefSeq, a predicted model, not a curated record
GCAAGCCAGGAAGGAGGAGGCAGCCAGAGUGUUCUCUGCAGCAGAAGACCCCUUGCUGCCCUGCUUAACCCAGACCAGCAUUUGCCAGGGGGAAAUGGUCCAGACAACUGAUGUAUGUUCCUCUUUCUGGCUCGUCUCCCAGUCCUGCAGCCCCAGGGAGCUCUGAGAACACACCCUCGAGGAUUUGGAUGCUGCUGCUGAAUUCCAGACAGGAUGGAGGUGCUGUAGGAGAGCCAAUCAGGCUGAAGGGAUUUGACCAGUUCUGGAUGGGCUCACAUUCCUCUUGAAAGAGUCCAAUUCAAGGUGCUGGUUUUGACCUUUAAAGUCCUUAAUGAUUUGGCCCUGGAUAUCUGAAGGACUGCCUGCUCCUAAGGAGUUCUGCCUGCUUGACAAGAUCAUCGGAGAGGGCUCUGCUCCACAUGCUGAUGGUGAGAGAGGCUUGGCUGUGAAGCAACACGUAGGACAAGGCCUUCUCAGUCAUUGCCUCCAGGCUUUGGAAUGCUCUCCUGGCUGGCAUCCGCUCCUCAGGCUCCAUAACAGGUCUUAGAAAACUAGUAAAAAUGUGGCUCUUCACCCAGGCUUUUCUAUGAGAGCACAGUUUUGACUGCUGCUACUUUGUGUUUUUUGUGUUACUGUUUUAUAUAGAUUUUUAAACUUUUAAAUAGAGAUAUAUUAUUUUUAUAUUUAUAUUUAAAGUCUGUACUUUUUGAAUUUUAAUUAUGCAUUGUUUUAAUUGUUUUGUAAACCACUUUGGGAUUAUUUUAAUGAAAAGUGGUAUAGAAAUCAAGCAAUAAAUAUACUGCUUUUGCAACACGCCCCCACCCCCCAUGGAAUUGACCUGUGAUUAUCAAACAGGUUUGAAUAUUUCGCCCAAAGACAUCCAAAUAUGAUGACUUCUUUCCUUCUUGUAUAUUUUAAAAAUUCCUUGGAGGAAUAGAUUGGGUGUUCCCAAUAUACUCUUAACCUUAGUUGUGAGUUUUCGACUCAAGAUCUUGUGGCAUUUCAAUUUCAUCUCAGCUGUUACAAUAACUGAGGCAGAGCAAAGAGCUCCCUUCUUCUACAUGAACAAUUAUGUCUUUAUUCUGGAGUUGUAUGAAGUUGAUGGGCAGGAGGAGGGCAUUGUUUUAGAUGGGAGAGGUAUAAUACCAGUCCAAAUUAAGCAAUAAAAUCAUUGCUGGUGAAAAGAGGCCUUCAAUGUCCAGAUGUUUUAAAAACAAACACUAUGCAGAAUAUUUACACUGCACAAAACAAGAGUAAAAAUCAGCAGCUUUGUGUUAUCAUU